GCACCAUAUCCCUCGAGAUGAGAACCAAAUGGCUGAUGCUCUUGCUACUUUAUCCUCCAUGUUUCGAGUGAACCAUUGGAAUGAUGUACCAAUAAUCAAAGUGCAACGCCUUGUUGCUCUCUGAAUCAUUGCAUUGCUUUUCUUGCAUGUUAUUUCAAAAAAUCAUACAAAAAGGGUAUUUUCGUCAUUUCCUGCAGUGGAACCCAUUUUAGUCCCUGUGUUUGUCUCUGAGUCUUUUCAACUUGUUGUACAAGUCAUUGUUGAGUCUUUGUUAAAAAAUCAUUUCAAAAAUUACAUCUGAGUCAGUUUAGUCCCUAGGGGCAUUUUGGUCUUUUCCCAUCAAAAUUUCGACAGAGACGUAUUUUAAAAUACCUCAUUUUUGUAAUUGGUUCAUUUUAGUCCUUUUGUUGAUUUUAUUUUUGGUUUCGCUUUACGUUUUGUCCAAUUUACCAAUUUUAGUCCAAUUUUAUUUUUAAUUGCAUUUUGAUCCCGAAACAGUUUCAGAAAUUGCAUUUUGGUCCCAAACAUUUUAAAAUUGCAUUUUUAGUCCUUUUUCUUAUUUUGCAGAAAGGUCCCCAAGUCCAAAUGGUCCAAGGCCGAGCCAGCCAAAGUCCAAUCACAGGUGUCCCUCUCCCAUUGGGUCUCAAGCACACUUGGCAGCCUAUAAAAGGUGCAUUCACUGCACAAGUCAGAAUCAGAGAUCCACACAAUUCAAGCCACAUCACAAACAGAGAGAAAUUUCUCUCUCCUUUCAGUUAGGAUCAAAAUACAGAAAAUUCACCAAGAACAAUGAAGAACAAGCAAGAACCCUAAUUUCCAGAACCACAAUCCACCACCAAAUUCUAAAAAUCCAACACAGUUCACCAACAAUUUCAACAAAAUUGCUUCGGUUCUCAGUGAUUCAUGGUGAAUCUUCAUCAUUGAACCGUUUUUUUCCUCUGCAAUUCAAGUGCGAAUUCCUCACCGGAGGUGAAGAACUCAAGCACGAUCACAGAGUUUGAGGGAGAAGAAGAAGAGAAAGAAGAUGAAGAGGAAUUGAAUCGGUACCAGUGAAGAAGAAGAAGAACCGAUUUAUUUUCGGAUUCAAGUCAAAAAUCAACAAACAAAAUCAAGUUCAAGUGUUUCCGAAGAUCUUCGCUCAAAAUCUCCAAUUGAAACCACAGGUAAACACAUAAACUUCAUCUUUCUUGCUUAAAAACAACAACGAAGACAAAUCAAUGUAGAUCUAUGGAGUUUUAAGAAGUUUCGUUCAAAACUGGAAAACCUAAAAAAAAUUCAUUCGAAAACCGUGAAGAAAUUUCUAGAUCUACGUUGAUUCGAGCCUUGCAUGUGAAAACCAGUGUUAGCUUCAUACUUAGGGUUAGAAAACGAGUUGAUUGAUGUAAGAUUCAUGAAUUUCUGGUGAGAUUAGGUUACCGGAACCUGGAGAUCUUGCCGGAGAAGAUGAAGUUUCCGGCGGACCUAUGAAGGUUCCGGCCAGACCUUCAUCUUCUCCGGCCGCUCAAUCCAGAAAUCGGCGAGGGAGGAGAAGAGAGAAGUGAGAGCUUCUCUCACUAGAUUAGUGUAGAGAGAGAAGGAAGAGAAGAAAGUGAAUUGAACCGGUCCCCAAUUCCUUUUAUAAACAACUGAACCGGACCGGUUCAAUUCUGGUUCAUUUCUCCUUCAUUGUGGCCGUUAGAUCUAGGGUUUUUCAUCUUGGACCAAUCCAACGGUUCCUGUGCGUCCAGAUCCAAUGGACGUUGGGCCUGGGCCUUUUCAUGUGGUUUCCCUUCGUUUUCUUGAUUUUCUUGCUAUGCACACCCUGUUUCUUGCUAUGUGAACCCUCUGUUGUCUAAUUUUUCUUGUAAAAAUUCCUAAAAAAUUUCUAUGUGUUUCUUGAUGCAUUUUUGAUAUUUUUGUGAUGUUUUUACAUAUUAAAAAUGAUAAAAAAAUAUACGUGAUGUUUUCUUGUUGAUUUGUUCGUUUUUGACUAAACUUGUGAAUUGUCUUGCUAUAAUUUGUUCAUGAGGUCUUGGCAUGAUAUGAAUGAUUGAUAUGCAAUUUCGUGGUGAAUAUGUCUCUGAUCAUGUGUUUGUUUGUACUGUUUUUGAUGUGAUUUGCUAAUUUCUUGUGUUGCAAGUAAUGUGUACUUUUUACAUUUUGGUUAUUGUUGUUGCUUUUACCGUUUAUCUCGUAUUUCUUUGCUUACUUGUUCUAUCAUUUUAUGUCCUAUUCUACUAACCAUUUUAUUUCUUGUUUCAUUCACCUCAUAAGCAUUCUAUCAUUUCAUCUCCAUUUCUUAUAGUUUAGGUCUUUUACUAUUCAUUUCUAUGUUGGAGUUGGCAUGUAAGGUUUAGAUAGUUUUAAUUUCUCUUUUAAAUUCUUGCAAGACCAUAGAAUGUAAACUAGGGUCUAUGUAAUGGACAAUGGACUCUAAUGAUGUACACCGACACAAGCACCGACACGCACACACGUUGUAUGUUGAUUUACCGUCUUAGAUGCAUGCUUAGGGAACGCGAUACUUAGAAAAAUAUUCAUUUCCCAAAAAAUUAGAAAGUUCCAUCACUUGAAAAUUUUUUCAAAUAAACCUUGGAGUCAAAACUCCAUUGCACUUUUCCUUUAUUUUCUUAAGCAAAAUUCAAAUGAACUUUAAUUCCAACUUAGACUCUUUUCUUUAAUAAUUGAACCAACCACUCACCAUUUUUUCUCAUGCCUUUACGGCUUCUUUCCUUUCUUCAAAACCCAUUUUCAAAAAAACUUAAAAUCAAUUGAAACACACA
This 2759-nucleotide long non-coding RNA is filed under the name Medicago truncatula (barrel medic). RNAcentral's name for it is "long non-coding RNA (MTRU_LNC007283)". The record is from RNAcentral. Lineage: Eukaryota; Viridiplantae; Streptophyta; Magnoliopsida; Fabales; Fabaceae.